Molecule: ribosomal RNA, 275 nt
Filed under: uncultured bacterium
Lineage: Bacteria
Description: partial 16S ribosomal RNA
Rfam family: Bacterial small subunit ribosomal RNA
Source: RNAcentral
ACUCCUACGGGAGGGCAGCAGUGGGAAUAUUGCACAAUGGGCGCAAGCCUGAUGCAGCCAUGCCGCGUGUAUGAAGAAGGCCUUCGGGUUGUAAAGUACUUUCAGCAGUGAGGAAGGUGAGUCGUAUAGCGGCCUCAUUGAGUUAGCUGCAGAAGAAGCACCGGCUAACUCCGUGCCAGCAGCCGCGGUAAUACGGAGGGUGCAAGCGUUAAUCGGAAUUACUGGGCGUAAAGCGAGUGUAGGCGGCGACGUAAGUCGGAUGUGAAAGCCCCGGG